This is a non-coding RNA of Brevundimonas sp. KM4, 164 nucleotides long. NCBI's taxonomy places the organism in Bacteria, Pseudomonadati, Pseudomonadota, Alphaproteobacteria, Caulobacterales, Caulobacteraceae. The record is from Rfam.
CAACAGUCGAAAGGAGGUGAUCCAGUGUCUCAUUGUCAUCAAUCGCGAGCGGCGACCGCGACCCUGGCCCUCGGAGAGGGUCUGGUCUGAGCCUUUCAGACUGAGUUGCGGCCGGACCGUUCGCGGUCAGGCAAUGAAGGGUCGUCGGGGAAACCCAGCGGCCC